AGUGAACGCUGGCGGUAGGCCUAACACAUGCAAGUCGAACGGCAGCACAGUAAGAGCUUGCUCUUACGGGUGGCGAGUGGCGGACGGGUGAGGAAUACAUCGGAAUCUACUUUUUCGUGGGGGAUAACGUAGGGAAACUUACGCUAAUACCGCAUACGACCUACGGGUGAAAGCAGGGGAUCUUCGGACCUUGCGCGAUUGAAUGAGCCGAUGUCGGAUUAGCUAGUUGGCGGGGUAAAGGCCCACCAAGGCGACGAUCCGUAGCUGGUCUGAGAGGAUGAUCAGCCCAACUGGAAAUGAGACACGGUCCAGACUCCUAAGGGAGGCAGCAGGGGGGAAUAUUGGACAAUGGGCGCAAGCCUGAUCCAGCCAUACCGCGUGGGUGAAGAAGGCCUUCGGGUUGUAAAGCCCUUUUGUUGGGAAAGAAAAGCAGCAGGUUAAUACCCCGCUGUUCUGACGGUACCCAAAGAAUAAGCACCGGCUAACUUCGUG
RNAcentral lists this ribosomal RNA (492 nucleotides) under uncultured bacterium. RNAcentral describes it as "partial 16S ribosomal RNA". It matches the Rfam family "Bacterial small subunit ribosomal RNA", at positions 29 to 507 of the family's 1533-position model. The record is from RNAcentral.